UACGAAGGGGGCUAGCGUUGCUCGGAAUCACUGGGCGUAAAGCGCACGUAGGCGGAUUGUUAAGUCGGGGGUGAAAUCCUGGAGCUCAACUCCAGAACUGCCUUUGAUACUGGAGAGCUUGAGUCCGGAAGAGGUGAGUGGAACUCCGAGUGUAGAGGUGAAAUUCGUAGAUAUUCGGAAGAACACCAGUGGCGAAGGCGGCUCACUGGUCCGGUACUGACGCUGAUGUGCGAAAGCGUGGGGAGCAAACAGG
RNAcentral lists this ribosomal RNA (253 nucleotides) under uncultured bacterium. RNAcentral describes it as "partial 16S ribosomal RNA". It matches the Rfam family "Bacterial small subunit ribosomal RNA", at positions 524 to 776 of the family's 1533-position model. The record is from RNAcentral.